UUUCCCAAUUAGUAAGACCCCUUGAAGACGACGAGGUAGAUAGGUUGGAGGUGGAAGUGCAGCAAUGCAUGGAGCUGACCAAUACUAAUCGGUCGAGGGCUUAUCCUA
RNAcentral lists this non-coding RNA (108 nucleotides) under Paenibacillus antarcticus. Its description in RNAcentral is "Bacterial large subunit ribosomal RNA". It matches the Rfam family "Bacterial large subunit ribosomal RNA", at positions 2810 to 2925 of the family's 2925-position model. Lineage: Bacteria; Bacillati; Bacillota; Bacilli; Caryophanales; Paenibacillaceae. The record is from Rfam by way of RNAcentral.